UACGGAGGGUGCAAGCGUUAUCCGGAUUCACUGGGUUUAAAGGGUGCGUAGGCGGGCAGGUAAGUCCGUGGUGAAAUCUCUGAGCUUAACUCAGAAACUGCCAUGGAUACUAUUUGUCUUGAAUGUUGUGGAGGUAAGCGGAAUAUGUCAUGUAGCGGUGUAACGCUUAGAUAUGACAUAGAACACCAAUUGCGAAGGCAGCUUACUACACAAAUAUUGACGCUGAGGCACGAAAGCGUGGGGAUCAAACAGG
Molecule: ribosomal RNA, 253 nt
Filed under: uncultured bacterium
Lineage: Bacteria
Description: partial 16S ribosomal RNA
Rfam family: Bacterial small subunit ribosomal RNA
Source: RNAcentral